RNAcentral lists this ribosomal RNA (253 nucleotides) under uncultured bacterium. RNAcentral describes it as "partial 16S ribosomal RNA". It matches the Rfam family "Bacterial small subunit ribosomal RNA", at positions 524 to 776 of the family's 1533-position model. The record is from RNAcentral.
UACGUAGGGACCGAGCGUUGUCCGGAAUUACUGGGCGUAAAGCGCACGUAGGCGGCUACUCAAGUCAGAGGUGAAAGCCCAGGGCUCAACCCUGGAACUGCCUUUGAAACUAGGUAGCUAGAAUCUUGGAGAGGUCAGUGGAAUUCCGAGUGUAGAGGUGAAAUUCGUAGAUAUUCGGAAGAACACCAGUGGCGAAGGCGACUGACUGGACAAGUAUUGACGCUGAGGUGCGAAAGCGUGGGGAGCAAACAGG